CGGGGCGCCAAAGUCCGNUCACCCAAUCAAGAAGCCGGGGGGNUCCGGGGCGUCCGGGUCCACAAGAUCAUCCGACGGGUGACCNUAUCGAGGUUUAANAAUAAUGAUCGGGUUCCGGGGCCCGCCCNUUGGNCCUUUGGAGGCACGGAACCUGCGGAAGGAUCAUUA
Molecule: ribosomal RNA, 168 nt
Filed under: Physconia distorta
Lineage: Eukaryota; Fungi; Ascomycota; Lecanoromycetes; Caliciales; Physciaceae
Description: partial 18S ribosomal RNA
Source: RNAcentral